Molecule: ribosomal RNA, 1052 nt
Filed under: Staphylococcus aureus
Lineage: Bacteria; Bacillati; Bacillota; Bacilli; Caryophanales; Staphylococcaceae
Description: partial 23S ribosomal RNA
Rfam family: Bacterial large subunit ribosomal RNA
Source: RNAcentral
AAGACAUUGUGUCUUCGAGUCGUUGAUUUCACACUGCCGAGAAAAGCCUCUAGAUAGAAAAUAGGUGCCCGUACCGCAAACCGACACAGGUAGUCAAGAUGAGAAUUCUAAGGUGAGCGAGCGAACUCUCGUUAAGGAACUCGGCAAAAUGACCCCGUAACUUCGGGAGAAGGGGUGCUCUUUAGGGUUAACGCCCAGAAGAGCCGCAGUGAAUAGGCCCAAGCGACUGUUUAUCAAAAACACAGGUCUCUGCUAAACCGUAAGGUGAUGUAUAGGGGCUGACGCCUGCCCGGUGCUGGAAGGUUAAGAGGAGUGGUUAGCUUCUGCGAAGCUACGAAUCGAAGCCCCAGUAAACGGCGGCCGUAACUAUAACGGUCCUAAGGUAGCGAAAUUCCUUGUCGGGUAAGUUCCGACCCGCACGAAAGGCGUAACGAUUUGGGCACUGUCUCAACGAGAGACUCGGUGAAAUCAUAGUACCUGUGAAGAUGCAGGUUACCCGCGACAGGACGGAAAGACCCCGUGGAGCUUUACUGUAGCCUGAUAUUGAAAUUCGGCACAGCUUGUACAGGAUAGGUAGGAGCCUUUGAAACGUGAGCGCUAGCUUACGUGGAGGCGCUGGUGGGAUACUACCCUAGCUGUGUUGGCUUUCUAACCCGCACCACUUAUCGUGGUGGGAGACAGUGUCAGGCGGGCAGUUUGACUGGGGCGGUCGCCUCCUAAAAGGUAACGGAGGCGCUCAAAGGUUCCCUCAGAAUGGUUGGAAAUCAUUCAUAGAGUGUAAAGGCAUAAGGGAGCUUGACUGCGAGACCUACAAGUCGAGCAGGGUCGAAAGACGGACUUAGUGAUCCGGUGGUUCCGCAUGGAAGGGCCAUCGCUCAACGGAUAAAAGCUACCCCGGGGAUAACAGGCUUAUCUCCCCCAAGAGUUCACAUCGACGGGGAGGUUUGGCACCUCGAUGUCGGCUCAUCGCAUCCUGGGGCUGUAGUCGGUCCCAAGGGUUGGGCUGUUCGCCCAUUAAAGCGGUACGCGAGCUGGGUUCAGAACGUCGUGAG